GUCCGGGUGGCGGAAUAGGUAGACGCGCUAGCUUGAGGUGCUAGUGGCCGUAUAGGCUGUGGAGGUUCAAGUCCUCUCUCGGACACGA
Molecule: transfer RNA, 88 nt
Filed under: Tessaracoccus oleiagri
Lineage: Bacteria; Bacillati; Actinomycetota; Actinomycetes; Propionibacteriales; Propionibacteriaceae
Description: tRNA_Leu_GAG
Rfam family: tRNA
About the family: Transfer RNA (tRNA) molecules are approximately 80 nucleotides in length. Their secondary structure includes four short double-helical elements and three loops (D, anti-codon, and T loops). Further hydrogen bonds mediate the characteristic L-shaped molecular structure. tRNAs have two regions of fundamental functional importance: the anti-codon, which is responsible for specific mRNA codon recognition, and the 3' end, to which the tRNAs corresponding amino acid is attached (by aminoacyl-tRNA synthetases). tRNAs cope with the degeneracy of the genetic code in two manners: having more than one tRNA (with a specific anti-codon) for a particular amino acid; and 'wobble' base-pairing, i.e. permitting non-standard base-pairing at the 3rd anti-codon position.
Source: RNAcentral